RNAcentral lists this ribosomal RNA (834 nucleotides) under uncultured eukaryote. RNAcentral's name for it is "SSU rRNA". It matches the Rfam family "Eukaryotic small subunit ribosomal RNA", at positions 370 to 1207 of the family's 1831-position model. The record is from RNAcentral.
UUCGCCCUUGGGUUCGAUUCCGGAGAGGGAGCCUGAGAAACGGCUACCACAUCUAAGGAAGGCAGCAGGCGCGUAAAUUACCCAAUCCUGACACAGGGAGGUAGUGACAAGAAAUAUCAAUAUAAGACGUUUGUGUCUUGUAAUUGGGAUGAGAGCAAUUUAAAACGCUUCUCGAGUAUCAAUUGGAGGGCAAGUCUGGUGCCAGCAGCCGCGGUAAUUCCAGCUCCAAUAGCGUAUAUUAAAAUUGUUGCGGUUAAAACGCUCGUAGUUGGAUAUCUGCUAAGGGGUUCCGGUCCUUCCCAGUGAAGAAUACGCGGAACUCUCCUUGGCAUUUGUUCAGGGAAAGUGUUUGCACUUUGUUGUGUGUCACGUGAUCUGGAUUUUUACUCUGAGGAAAUGAGAGUGUUCCAAGCAGGCUCACGCCGUGAAUAUGAUAGCAUGGAAUAAUAGCAUAGGACCCCUUUCCAAAGCUGUUGGUUUUUGGAACGAGGUAAUCAUAAUAAGGAUAGUUGGGGGUAUUCGUAUUUAACUGUCAGAGGUGAAAUUCUUGGAUUUUUUAAAGACGAACUACUGCGAAGGCAUCUGCCCAGGAUGUUUUUGUUGAUCAAGAACGAAAGUUAGGGGAUCGAAGACGAUCAGAUACCGUCCUAGUCUUAACCUUAAACUAUGCCGGCUGGAGAUCGGAGUUGUCAGAAUUGUGACGGCUUCGGCAUCCUGAGAGAAAUCGAAGUCUUUGGGUUCCGGGGGGAGUAUGGUCGCAAGGCUGAAACUUAAAGGAAUUGACGGAAGGGCACCACCAGGAGUGGAGCCUGCGGCUUAAUUUGACUCAACACG